GAUGAACGCUGGCGGCGUGCCUAGUACAUGCAAGUCGAGCGAACAGACGAGGAGCUUGCUCCUCUGACGUUAGCGGCGGACGGGUGAGUAACACGUGGAUAACCUACCUAUAAGACUGGGAUAACUUCGGGAAACCGGAGCUAAUACCGGAUAAUAUAUUGAACCGCAUGGUUCAAUAGUGAAAGACGGUUUUGAUGUCACUUAUAGAUGGAUCCGCGCCGCAUUAGCUAGUUGGUAAGGUAACGGCUUACCAAGGCGACGAUGCGUAGCCGACCUGAGAGGGUGAUCGGCCACACUGGAACUGAGACACGGUCCAGACUCCUACGGGAGGCAGCAGUAGGGAAUCUUCCGCAAUGGGCGAAAGCCUGACGGAGCAACGCCGCGUGAGUGAUGAAGGUCUUCGGAUCGUAAAACUCUGUUAGUAGGGAAGAACAAAUGUGUAAGUAACUAUGCACGUCUUGACGGUACCUAAUCAGAAAGCCACGGCUAACUACGUG
RNAcentral lists this ribosomal RNA (497 nucleotides) under uncultured bacterium. RNAcentral's name for it is "partial 16S ribosomal RNA". It matches the Rfam family "Bacterial small subunit ribosomal RNA", at positions 28 to 507 of the family's 1533-position model. The record is from RNAcentral.